UUAGUUCAGUUGGUAGAACAUUGGUCUCCAAAACCAAAUGUCGUGGGUUCAAGUCCUACA
This 60-nucleotide transfer RNA is filed under the name Crustomastix stigmatica. It matches the Rfam family "tRNA", at positions 7 to 64 of the family's 71-position model. Rfam says of the family: Transfer RNA (tRNA) molecules are approximately 80 nucleotides in length. Their secondary structure includes four short double-helical elements and three loops (D, anti-codon, and T loops). Further hydrogen bonds mediate the characteristic L-shaped molecular structure. tRNAs have two regions of fundamental functional importance: the anti-codon, which is responsible for specific mRNA codon recognition, and the 3' end, to which the tRNAs corresponding amino acid is attached (by aminoacyl-tRNA synthetases). tRNAs cope with the degeneracy of the genetic code in two manners: having more than one tRNA (with a specific anti-codon) for a particular amino acid; and 'wobble' base-pairing, i.e. permitting non-standard base-pairing at the 3rd anti-codon position. The record is from RNAcentral. Lineage: Eukaryota; Viridiplantae; Chlorophyta; Mamiellophyceae; Dolichomastigales; Crustomastigaceae.